RNAcentral lists this ribosomal RNA (468 nucleotides) under uncultured bacterium. RNAcentral's name for it is "partial 16S ribosomal RNA". It matches the Rfam family "Bacterial small subunit ribosomal RNA", at positions 28 to 523 of the family's 1533-position model. The record is from RNAcentral.
GAUGAACGCUGGCGGCGUGCCUAACACAUGCAAGUCGAGCGAUUCUCUUCGGAGAAGAGCGGCGGACGGGUGAGUAACGCGUGGGUAACCUGCCCUGUACACGCGGAUAACAUACCGAAAGGUAUGCUAAUACGAGAUAAUAUGCUUUUAUCGCAUGGUAGAAGUAUCAAAGUUUUUGCGGUACAGGAUGGACCCGCGUCUGAUUAGCUAGGUGGUAAGGUAACGGCUUACCAAGGCGACGAUCAGUAGCCGACCUGAGAGGGUGAUCGGCCACAUCGGAACUGAGACACGGUCCAAACUCCUACGGGAAGGAGCAGUGGGGAAUAUUGCACAAUGGGCGAAAGCCUGAUGCAGCAACGCCGCGUGAGCGAUGAAGGCCUUCGGGUCGUAAAGCUCUGUCCUCAAGGAAGAUAAUGACGGUACUUGAGGAGGAAGCCCCGGCUAACUACGUGCCAGCCGCCGCAGUAA